UUUCCCCUAUAAGGAGUCUAGCCUGCUCACUGACAGAAUGUUAAAUAGCCGCGGUAUUUUGACCGUGCAAAGGUAGCAUAAUCAUUAGUUUUUUAAUUGAAAACUUGUAUGAAUGGUUGGACAAAGAAAAAGCUGUCUCUUCUAUUAAAAUUGAAAUUAACUUCUAAGUGAAAAGGCUUAGAUUUUCUAGAGGGACGAUAAGACCCUAUAAAGCUUUAUAGAUUGAGUGGAUUAAACCAAUUUUUUAGAAUAAAAGUAAAUUUGGAAGAUUUAUUUGGUUGGGGCGACAAAUGUAUAAUGUUAAAUAACUGCUAUUAAAUUUAAACAAUUAUAUUUGAUAAAAAUUUAAAUGAUCCUUAAUAAAGAUUAAAAGAUCAAGUUACUUUAGGGAUAACAGCGUAAUUUCUUUUAAGAGUUCUUAUCAAAGAAGGAGUUUGCGACCUCGAUGUUGAAUUAAAAUGUCUUUAUAGUGCAGCAGCUAUAAAAGAAGGUCUGUUCGACCUUUAAUUUUUUACGUGAUCUGAGUUCAGACCGGGGGGGGAAACAAAGGGAGGGGGGGGAUUUUUGG
RNAcentral lists this ribosomal RNA (568 nucleotides) under Scylla serrata (giant mud crab). RNAcentral's name for it is "partial 16S ribosomal RNA". It matches the Rfam family "Bacterial large subunit ribosomal RNA", at positions 1837 to 2630 of the family's 2925-position model. The record is from RNAcentral. Lineage: Eukaryota; Metazoa; Arthropoda; Malacostraca; Decapoda; Portunidae.